RNAcentral lists this ribosomal RNA (426 nucleotides) under uncultured bacterium. Its description in RNAcentral is "partial 16S ribosomal RNA". It matches the Rfam family "Bacterial small subunit ribosomal RNA", at positions 354 to 796 of the family's 1533-position model. The record is from RNAcentral.
GUGAGGAAUUUUCCGCAAUGGGCGAAAGCCUGACGGAGCAAUGCCGCGUGAAGGAUGAAGGCCUAUGGGUUGUAAACUUCUUUUCUUAGAGAAGAAUAUUGACGGUAUCUGAGGAAUAAGCAUCGGCUAACACUGUGCCAGCAGCCGCGGUAAGACAGAGGAUGCAAGCGUUAUCCGGAAUGAUUGGGCGUAAAGCGUCUGUAGGUGGCUUCAAAAGUCUCCUGUCAAAGAUCAGGGCUUAACCCUGGGCCGGCAGGUGAAACUCUGAGGCUAAGGUUUGGUAGGGGCAGAGGGAAUUCCCGGUGGAGCGGUGAAAUGCGUAGAGAACGGGAGGAACGCCAAAGGCGAAAGCACUCUGCUGGGCCACAACUGACACUGAGAGACGAAAGCGAGGGGAGCAAAAGGGAUUAGAAACCCGGGUAGUCC